Molecule: RNA transcript, 1240 nt
Organism: Alnus glutinosa
Lineage: Eukaryota; Viridiplantae; Streptophyta; Magnoliopsida; Fagales; Betulaceae
Gene name: oxysterol-binding protein-related protein 3C-like
Exons: 6
Source: RefSeq, a predicted model, not a curated record
CCCCACAUGCCCAUUUUAAAACAUUUCCUGCCGAAACCCUCUCUUUUAAGUAACGUGUGUUGCAUUGAGAGUUGAGAGACUCGAACGCACGGCUAAAACCGCCAGCGAAUUCCACCUCCCGUCCUCGCUGUUCUCUGAAAUCACAAAUCCUAUAUUUUUAGCUCUUCCUCACCACUCUCUUUCUCUCUUCGUUCGAUCCUCUGUAGGCCUUUUCGGAUCUUCGAAUUAGAGCUUGGAUUGGAGAGAGAUGGGUAGCCCUAAGAAGAACCAGAGUAAGGGCCUCUUCGCCGCCAUGACUUCUGGCUUGUCCAUGUUCGGCAACGCCAUGCACCGAUCCGUCAACGGGUUGCUUGGUUAUGAAGGGGUGGAAGUGAUAAAUCCAGACGGAGGCAAAGAAGAUGCAGUGGAAGAAGCUCAGAGAGGAAGAUGGAAACAGGAGAACACGUGUGUCUCUUAAAAGAGAUGGUGUGGUCUUAGAUUUGGUGCCACCUCCUACAAAGGUUAAUAACCUGAUUUUUGGCCGUACUUGGGUAGAUUCACCAGGGGAGAUGAUUAUGACAAAUUUGACUACAGGAGACAAAGCCGUUCUAUACUUUCAGCCAUGUGGCUGGUUUGGAGCUGGUCGCUAUGAAGUGGAUGGAUACGUGUAUAAUGCUGCUGAGGAACCUAAAAUAUUGAUGACUGGGAAAUGGAAUGAGUCAAUAAGUUAUCAACCAUGUGACAUGGAAGGGGAGCCUCUUCCAGGCACAGAACUGAAAGAGUGGGCUCCACCAUUAUGGGACAGAAGUCAGUGGCAAUUUUGCAACUUAUUAUUGGGCGAAAGGAGUAUUGAUUGCUUAAUACCUAAAAAGUGUUGUCAACAGCUGAAAAAAAUUGAACUAACUCCACAGAAUAGGAGGGAGCCUCUCUCAUCUUAAGUCUGAAAAAAAUUGUACAUUUUGGUAAAAUGGGAUUUAAUCCCAGGUGUCCUUGUAAAACUUCGUGUGACUUUACAAAUUGAACUAGCUGGCACCUUUGAUGAAGUUGACUUUAGAUAAUGAGGACUGUGAAUUGGUUGCGGGUGCUCAUAUAAAUCUGCAUUGGUUAUAUACGUUCUUCUAAAUGACUGGUUUGGCAUCUCGCUGAUGUUCCAGAGAAAGACAAAUUUCAAUGCACAUAUUUUGCACAUAAAAUAAAGGGAUAAUUUCACAAAAGGGUACCCAACUAUACCGCUUUUUCACUUAAGGGUACCAAUGUAGCA